GGGUAAACCCAAUCCAGUCCGCUGAUCCGAUCUGAGCCCAAGUCCGACCCACGUCGGAUAAAAAAAAAUCUCUUUUCUUUUUUUAGUUUUUUUUUAAAUAUAUUUUUCCCUUUUUUUUUUCUUUUAGUCUUAUCUCUAUUUUGUCUUUUCUGCUGCUCCAUCUCUGCUCAACGGUCCUUCCCGAAGCCACUUUUUGCCAUUUUAAAGUUUUCUAUUUGUUUUUUUGUUUUGCUUUUUUUCUUAUUCUUUACUUUUCUUUUUCUUUUGCUUUUUUUAUUUGUCUUUUUCCCAUGGUCUUCUUCCCCAAAGCCUCCUUCUGCACCAUAC
RNAcentral lists this long non-coding RNA (327 nucleotides) under Eucalyptus grandis. RNAcentral describes it as "long non-coding RNA (EGRA_LNC003290)". Lineage: Eukaryota; Viridiplantae; Streptophyta; Magnoliopsida; Myrtales; Myrtaceae. The record is from RNAcentral.